UUCCCAAGUACCGCGGGACACGAGAAAUCUUGCGGGAAUCUAGCAGGACCAUCUGCUAAGGCUAAAUAUCCGACGACUACCGAUAGUGAACCAGUACCGUGAGGGAAAGGUGAAAAGCACCCCUGAAGGGGAGUGAAAUAGUACCUGAAACCAUACGCUUACAAGCAGUCGGAGGUUGACUUCGGUCGACUGACGGCGUGCCUUUUGCAUAAUGAGCCGGUGAGUUAUCGUAUGCAGCAAGGUUAAGUGUCGUAGGCACGGAGCCGUAGCGAAAGCGAGUCUUAAUAGGGCGACAUAGUUGCAUGCGGUAGACCCGAAGCUGAGUGAUCUUGCCAUGACCAGGAGGAAGCGUCAGUAACAUGACGUGGAAGUCCGAACCAGGGUCGGUUGAAAACGGCUUGGAUGAGUUGUGGCAAGGGGUGAAAGGCCAAUCAAACUCAGUGAUAGCUGGUUCUCCCCGAAAUAGUUUUAGGACUAGCCUCGUGAAUGUAUGACGGAGGUAGAGCACUGAAUGGGUUAGGGGCCCCACAAGGUUUACCGACCCCAAUCAAACUCCGAAUGCCGUUUAUAUGAAUCACGGGAGUCAGGCUAUGGGUGAUAAGGUCCAUGGCCGAGAGGGAAAGAGCCCAGAUCAACAGCUAAGGUCCCUAAAUCAAGACUAAGUGGUGGAAGGAUGUCGAACUGCCCAGACAGCUAGGAGGUUGGCUUAGAAGCAGCCACCCUUUAAAGAAAGCGUAACAGCUCACUAGUUAAGUGGUUUGGCGCCGAAAAUAAUCGGGACUCAAGUCUUGUACCGAAGCUUUGGAUUUGUGCCUUCGGGCACAUCUGGUAGGGGAGCAUUCCGUAGGUGGAUGAAGCCGUUUCGUGAGAAAUGGUGGACAUAUCGGAAGGGCUUAUGCCGGCAUGAGUAGCGAUAAAACAGGUGAGAAACCUGUUCACCGAAAACCUAAGGUUUCCUGAGGAAGGCUAAUCCGCUCAGGGUAAGUCGGCCCCUAAGUCGAGGCCGAAAGGCGUAGACGAUGGGAAUCCGGUCAAAAUUCCGGAACCUGGUUUGUUUCGUUUGUACGAUGGGGUGACGCAGAAGUGAAAGCAGAGCCACCUGAUGGAUGGUGGUCCAAACAAGUAGGCGUGAAGCUUAGGUAAAUCCGGGCUUCUUAUACGCCGAGAUGUGACGGAGGAACGACCCUUCGGGGGAGCCAAUUCUGCCUAAUCAUGCUGCCAAGAAAAACCUCUAAGGAGAGACAGGCCAGACCGUACCGCAAACCAACACAGGUAGGUGAGGAGAGUAUCCUAAGGUGCUCGAGAGAACCCUGGUAAAGGAACUCGGCAAAAUGGCUCCGUAACUUCGGGAGAAGGAGCGCCAUAAGUAGGUGAAGCGACUUGCUCGUGAAGCCAAACAUGGCCGCAGUGAAAAGGCGUUGGCGACUGUUUACUAAAAACACAGGGCUCUGCGAAAUCGUAAGAUGACGUAUAGGGUCUGACACCUGCCCGGUGCCGAUCUGUUAAGUGGAGGGGUUAGACUUCGGUCGAAGCUCUGAAAUGAAGCCUCGGUAAACGGCGGCCGUAACUAUAACGGUCCUAAGGUAGCGAAAUUCCUUGUCGGGUAAGU
Molecule: ribosomal RNA, 1609 nt
Filed under: marine sediment metagenome
Description: bacterial LSU rRNA
Rfam family: Bacterial large subunit ribosomal RNA
Source: RNAcentral